UAUUAAAAAUUUUAUUUAUUUCUGUUGUUAAAAAUUAGCAUAACUGACAAAAUAACUAAAUAAUUAUACAUGGCAUGCUACAUAUACCUCAUGUUAACGUACAGGGGCUAGUUUUAACCAUAAAAAUUGAUGAAGUUUUUAAUA
Molecule: microRNA precursor, 144 nt
Filed under: Gossypium arboreum
Lineage: Eukaryota; Viridiplantae; Streptophyta; Magnoliopsida; Malvales; Malvaceae
Description: MIR7502 microRNA precursor family
Rfam family: MIR7502 microRNA precursor family
Source: Rfam by way of RNAcentral